CACGUAGGGGGCAAGCGUUGUCCGGAUUCAUUGGGCGUAAAGAGCUCGUAGGCGGCUCAGUAAGUCGGGUGUGAAACCCUCAGGCUCAACCUGGGGACGCCACUCGAUACUGCUGUGGCUAGAGUCCAGUAGGGGAGUGUGGAAUUCCCGGUGUAGCGGUGAAAUGCGCAGAUAUCGGGAGGAACACCAGCGGCGAAGGCGGCACUCUGGGCUGGUACUGACGCUGAGGAGCGGAAAGCGUGGGUAGCAAACGAGGA
This 257-nucleotide ribosomal RNA is filed under the name uncultured bacterium. RNAcentral describes it as "partial 16S ribosomal RNA". It matches the Rfam family "Bacterial small subunit ribosomal RNA", at positions 524 to 778 of the family's 1533-position model. The record is from RNAcentral.